GACGAACGCUGGCGGCGUGCUUAACACAUGCAAGUCGAACGGUAAGGCUCCAGCUUGCUGGGGUACACGAGUGGCGAACGGGUGAGUAACACGUGGGUGACCUGCCCUGCACUUCGGGAUAAGCCUGGGAAACUGGGUCUAAUACCGGAUAGGACCGCACCGUGAGGGUGUGGUGGAAAGUUUUUUCGGUGUGGGAUGGGCCCGCGGCCUAUCAGCUUGUUGGUGGGGUAAUGGCCUACCAAGGCGGCGACGGGUAGCCGGCCUGAGAGGGUGGACGGCCACAUUGGGACUGAGACACGGCCCAGACUCCUACGGGAGGCAGCAGUGGGGAAUAUUGCACAAUGGGCGGAAGCCUGAUGCAGCGACGCCGCGUGGGGGAUGACGGCCUUCGGGUUGUAAACUCCUUUCACCAUCGACGAAGGGUUUCUGACGGUAGAUGGAGAAGAAGCACCGGCUAACUACGUGCCAGCAGCCGCGGUAAUACGUAGGGUGCGAGCGUUGUCCGGAAUUACUGGGCGUAAAGAGCUCGUAGGUGGUUUGUCGCGUCGUCUGUGAAAUUCCGGGGCUUAACUCCGGGCGUGCAGGCGAUACGGGCAUAACUUGAGUACUGUAGGGGAGACUGGAAUUCCUGGUGUAGCGGUGAAAUGCGCAGAUAUCAGGAGGAACACCGGUGGCGAAGGCGGGUCUCUGGGCAGUAACUGACGCUGAGGAGCGAAAGCAUGGGGAGCGAACAGGAUUAGAUACCCUGGUAGUCCAUGCCGUAAACGGUGGGCGCUAGGUGUGGGUUUCCUUCCACGGGAUCCGUGCCGUAGCUAACGCAUUAAGCGCCCCGCCUGGGGAGUACGGCCGCAAGGCUAAAACUCAAAGGAAUUGACGGGGGCCCGCACAAGCGGCGGAGCAUGUGGAUUAAUUCGAUGCAACGCGAAGAACCUUACCUGGGCUUGACAUAUACAGGAUCGCGCCAGAGAUGGUGUUUCCCUUGUGGCUUGUAUACAGGUGGUGCAUGGUUGUCAUCAGCUCGUGUCGUGAGAUGUUGGGUUAAGUCCCGCAACGAGCGCAACCCUUGUCUUAUGUUGCCAGCACGUUGUGGUGGGGACUCGUAAGAAACUGCCGGGGUUAACUCGGAGGAAGGUGGGGAUGACGUCAAAUCAUCAUGCCCCUUAUGCCCAGGGCUUCACACAUGCUACAAUGGUCGGUACAGUGGGUUGCCAGUCCGUGAGGGCGAGCUAAUCCCGCAAAGCCGGUCUCAGUUCGGAUCGGGGUCUGCAACUCGACCCCGUGAAGUCGGAGUCGCUAGUAAUCGCAGAUCAGCAACGCUGCGGUGAAUACGUUCCCGGGCCU
Molecule: ribosomal RNA, 1341 nt
Filed under: uncultured bacterium
Lineage: Bacteria
Description: partial 16S ribosomal RNA
Rfam family: Bacterial small subunit ribosomal RNA
Source: RNAcentral